GGGCGAUUAGCUCAGUCGGUAGAGCAGCUGAUUCUUAAUCAGCGGGUCACAGGUUCGAGUCCUGUAUCGCCCA
This 73-nucleotide transfer RNA is filed under the name Planctomycetes bacterium GWF2_41_51. RNAcentral's name for it is "tRNA-Lys". It matches the Rfam family "tRNA". From Rfam's summary of the family: Transfer RNA (tRNA) molecules are approximately 80 nucleotides in length. Their secondary structure includes four short double-helical elements and three loops (D, anti-codon, and T loops). Further hydrogen bonds mediate the characteristic L-shaped molecular structure. tRNAs have two regions of fundamental functional importance: the anti-codon, which is responsible for specific mRNA codon recognition, and the 3' end, to which the tRNAs corresponding amino acid is attached (by aminoacyl-tRNA synthetases). tRNAs cope with the degeneracy of the genetic code in two manners: having more than one tRNA (with a specific anti-codon) for a particular amino acid; and 'wobble' base-pairing, i.e. permitting non-standard base-pairing at the 3rd anti-codon position. Lineage: Bacteria; Pseudomonadati; Planctomycetota. RNAcentral also lists the same sequence under 1 other name. The record is from RNAcentral.